Molecule: non-coding RNA, 703 nt
Filed under: Pongo abelii (Sumatran orangutan)
Lineage: Eukaryota; Metazoa; Chordata; Mammalia; Primates; Hominidae
Source: RNAcentral
GAAAGAGAAAUGGCUGCCCCUGCACCACUUACCGCAAAGGAGGCUCAAGGCUGGGGGGCCCCUCUGCCUUCCAGUGACGGCCCGUGCCACAUCCUAACCCACUCAGCAGGAGAACACAGCAGGUCCCUCCGACCGCAGUCGGCCUCUCCAGCCUGUCAUGCCUCUGGCCAUGAGGCGACCCGCUGGAGUGAUGGAUUCGGGUCCCUCCCACCCACAGGGCGAGGGGGUGCAUUGGUCUGCUUGGGCCGCUGGAACAAAAUGCCACAGCCUGGGCGAGUGACUGACAUUGCUUCCCCACUGCUCUGGAGGCUGGAGGCCGGAGAUCGAGGUCCCUGACACUAUUUCGGUGAUGCCGGAGCCCAGGAGGAGUCCACCAAGCCCCAGCGUGGCCAUAAGCACCUUCGCAGGACCACGGAGUCGCUGCAGGUGUUCAGCCCUGUUGAGAGUGGCAGUCGGUGUCGAUGGUCACAUCUCAGUAACUCAUCGUCACCAGCGAGUACCACAGAGCAGACACAACCGCGCUUCUCUGUAGAGCCUCCAGUCGAUGCUGAGAGCCACUGGGGCGUCUGACACCCAAGGGUGCAGAGACGUUCACUCAGACUAAGUCCAGAGACCGCGCCCUUUCUAAGGCCCUGACUCACAGCCACCCCAUGCUCAUUGUGCCGGAUGUUUCCACAGCCACAAAGACCGUACGUGAAGGUGG